Molecule: ribosomal RNA, 419 nt
Filed under: uncultured ammonia-oxidizing beta proteobacterium
Lineage: Bacteria; Pseudomonadati; Pseudomonadota; Betaproteobacteria
Description: bacterial SSU rRNA
Rfam family: Bacterial small subunit ribosomal RNA
Source: RNAcentral
UGGAGGAAAGUAGGGGAUCGCAAGACCUUACGCUUUUGGAGCGGCCGAUGUCUGAUUAGCUUGUUGGUGAGGUAAAGGCUUACCAAGGCUUCGAUCAGUAGCUGGUCUGAGAGGACGACCAGCCACACUGGGACUGAGACACGGCCCAGACUCCUACGGGAGGCAGCAGUGGGGAAUUUUGGACAAUGGGGGAAACCCUGAUCCAGCCAUGCCGCGUGAGUGAAGAAGGCCUUCGGGUUGUAAAGCUCUUUCAGCCGGAACGAAACGGUUACGAUUAAUAUCUGUAACUACUGACGGUACCGGAAGAAGAAGCACCGGCUAACUACGUGCCAGCAGCCGCGGUAAUACGUAGGGUGCAAGCGUUAAUCGGAAUUACUGGGCGUAAAGCGUGCGCAGGUGGUUUUGUAAGUCAGAUGUGA